RNAcentral lists this RNase P RNA (346 nucleotides) under Lachnospiraceae bacterium. RNAcentral's name for it is "RNase P RNA component class A". It matches the Rfam family "Bacterial RNase P class A". From Rfam's summary of the family: Ribonuclease P (RNase P) is a ubiquitous endoribonuclease, found in archaea, bacteria and eukarya as well as chloroplasts and mitochondria. Its best characterised activity is the generation of mature 5'-ends of tRNAs by cleaving the 5'-leader elements of precursor-tRNAs. Lineage: Bacteria; Bacillati; Bacillota; Clostridia; Lachnospirales; Lachnospiraceae. The record is from RNAcentral.
UAAGUAAGAUAAAUGGUCGCGGCUGGCGGACCGAAAGGUGCCAGACGAGGAAAGUCCGGGCUUCACAGGGCAGGGAUGCCGGAUAACGUCCGGUGGAGGUGACUCUAAGGAUAGUGCAACAGAAAUGAACCGCCGGCUUUUGCCGGUAAGGGUGGAAGGGCAGUGUAAGAGACUACCGCUCCCCCGGCAACGGGAGAGGCAUAUGUAAACCCCAUCCGAAGCAAGACCGCAAUGAAGCAUAUGGCUGCCCGUCAGCUUCAGGUAGGUCGCUGGAGCCUGCCGGCAACGGCAGGCCUGGAUAGAUGACCAUUCACGACAUAACCCGGCUUAUCGUUUUGCUUACCCU